GCCCGGUUGGCUCAGUCGGUAGAGCGUGUGACUCUUAAUUACCUGAUUCAUUUGGGUAUGAGGGAAUCUCAAGGUCGCGAGUUCGAGCCUCGCAUCGGGCU
Kalaharituber pfeilii is the source of this 101-nucleotide non-coding RNA. The record is from the annotation of a GenBank genome assembly. Lineage: Eukaryota; Fungi; Ascomycota; Pezizomycetes; Pezizales; Pezizaceae.